RNAcentral lists this ribosomal RNA (411 nucleotides) under uncultured microorganism. RNAcentral describes it as "bacterial SSU rRNA". It matches the Rfam family "Archaeal small subunit ribosomal RNA", at positions 462 to 872 of the family's 1478-position model. The record is from RNAcentral.
CAGCCCCGGUAAUACCGGCGGCCCGAGUGGCGGUCACUAUUAUUGGGCUUAAAGCGUCCGUAGCCGGGUUGGGAAGUCCUCCGGGGAAUCUGGCCGCUUAACGGUCAGAAUGCCAGAGGAUACUCCCAGCCUAGGGAGCGGGAGAGGCCGAGGGGAUUUCCGGAGUAGGGGUGGAAUCCUAUAAUCCCGGGAGGACCACCUGUGGCGAAGGCGCUCGGCUGGAACGCGUCCGACGGUGAGGGACGAAGGCCAGGGGAGCAAACCGGAUUAGAUACCCGGGUAGUCCUGGCUGUAAACGAUGCGGACUUUGUGUCGGACAAGCUAUGAGCUUGUCCGGUGCCGGAGGGAAACCGUUAAGUCCGCCGCCUGGGGAGUACGGCCGCAAGGCUGAAACUUAAAGGAAUUGGCGGG